AUGCCCUUUGGUCUCGAGGAUCACCAUUUGGUGGGGUUAGGGUCACACCCGAAGUCAUAUUGGAGAAUUGAGCGGAACUACUUCCAUGUGCACUCUUUUCUCGGGUCAGGAAGCCCUGUUUUUAAGCAGGAAGACCUCUUCAUCAUCAUUAUUGGGGUAUGGGCCCUAAAUCAUUGGAAAAGACAGUUUUAUUUAGGGAAUUUACACGAUAUCGCCUCCUUCUGUACUAACAAGGGAAUGGAUGAGUUCACUUAA
RNAcentral lists this ribosomal RNA (255 nucleotides) under Triticum aestivum (bread wheat). Its description in RNAcentral is "partial small subunit ribosomal RNA". The record is from RNAcentral. Lineage: Eukaryota; Viridiplantae; Streptophyta; Magnoliopsida; Poales; Poaceae.